This is a long non-coding RNA of Plectropomus leopardus (leopard coralgrouper), 2661 nucleotides long. RefSeq lists it as uncharacterized. The record is from RefSeq and is a predicted model, not a curated record. NCBI's taxonomy places the organism in Eukaryota, Metazoa, Chordata, Actinopteri, Perciformes, Serranidae.
CCGAGACUGCCCACUUCCUGUCAUCUUGCUUCCGUGUUCUCCGUGCCGGUACAGCCGCGUGUGUCUGUGGACCCCGUGUCAGUGUGCUCGGCCCGCGGCUGGCGUGACAUAGCAUUCUUUGCUGCCGCCGCUAUGCUAGCAUGUGCUCUUCACCUCUCCCUCCCCUGACAACUGAAUGAAAGGAUCUACCUGUUACUGUGUAUGGUUACAGGUCUACAAGCCCAUAUUUGUCUCCAUUCUCCAGAGAGCCAAAAGACAACUCACCAGAGAAAAUUUCUGAUGAGUUGUUGGAAAAGACGAGAGCAACAACAGAGUUCAGAUUGAAAAACUGGCAUCACUCACAGCUGGCCGGGGAACAAAUCCAUACCAGGAUGCUUUUCAGCAGAGCAGACUCAUUGCAAGUAAUUUCAACCUGGUGCUCAAAGUAGCAGGCAGGGCAGUUUCCCCAAUGUCUGUGCUGAAUGAUUGCUGAAUGAUUUAUCAAGUUGCCAGUGGCAGUUCAGUGGGGCAUCGCACCUGAGCUGAAUGUAAACGGGGAGUCCUCCAGGUUUGGAAAAAGACUGCAGUCAUCUGGGAUGUUGGGAGUGUCACCUGGUGGUUUGAUAGGGGACAAUGGGACAUUGCAGGUGAAAACUACCUACAGCAUGAGAAGCAGAGUUACAGGGUUGGCAGUUACAACCACUGCCUCACAGGCAGGAUGAUUUGUUAUUUUUUACCUGGCCAGUUCCAUCUCUCUUACGGUUCAGGCCAGCAACAUUUUCAAGUUUGAGUAAUAUAACCUAGAGGCUAUACUUUUGAAGUAUCUCCACACGGAGAUACACUUAAGGCAAGACAUUGUCUGCAAGGUUCUAUAAUGUAUUCAGUGUGUCUUCAUUCAACAACACACAUAACAAACAACCUUACUGAUCUUGCCCUUUUAGUAUGAGUCAUAGCAAUAUCUAAUGCAAGCCACCAGUUGUUCUAAAUUGAACUUGCAACAGUCUCAAAUGAACACCAUCAAAGUCAAACAUUCUUGAAGUUGAUGCUUCAUGCAUAGUGAGGCAACACAUCUACUAUUAUCAACAGUCUUCACUUCUUUUGCUAAUGUUUUAACUCUAGGAUGAUAAGUUAUAUGUCUAAAGUGUUUUAUAUCCAGUGCGGGAGUUCACAGAGCUGCAAAACCCAAAGGGCUUAUCAUGUGGCUCUCCUCAUUAAAAAAUACACUUCAUCUUGCUUAUGCAAUCACUUUUAAAGUAGCAAAGCAACAUGAAGCAGCUCAAACAACUCCCAGUCAUUUGACAAUUAUCCACAUUUUCAUUCAGUUAGAACACAUCUAUGUGUGCAUUAAGAGCAAGACAAGGAUUGUAGUUUUCUCUUUCUCCUUUUUUUUUUUUCAAAGCAUUCAAAAACCUUUCAUUUUGAAACACAGGAACAAUUUAAUUGCACCACUCAAAUGCGAUGUGCUCACUCUGUGAAUUUAUUUAAAAGUGUAUAAAAAGGUGGACCUGGUAGAUAAUUUACAUUCUGGUUCCAUUGGGUUCAGCAAAUGAAACAUCAGGGGAAAAAAAGUAGGAGACAAGGAAAAAAGCAGAAUAGUAAGACAGUGUUUGCUGAGUUGCUUUGCAGUAAAGAUGUAUGCAAAUUCAACAAAUGGAAGAACUUAAGGGUCAUAAUUGGAUGCCUAUUGGGAAUGUGACUUAAAAACAAGAUUAUGUAUAUAACAAAUUGAACUUUUUGUAAAGUUUGGAUGUCUGGUAGUUGCUAGGGUGCUUAUGGCCUGCCAUAGGGUGAAUAAAAUAUUAGCACUGGGCACAGAGGAAGUAAUAUAGGAGUGUUGUAUUAUUAGAAAUAGAAUGCUGAAGUAAAAUAUUUCAUGUAUGUAUAUAUGUACACUGCAUAUAUAUCGCUGCAUAUAUCUUCAGCUGAAACACAGAAAGCAGAGACGACAGAGAUAGAAGGAAAGAAUAUUUGACCAUUUUGGCACCGUGGACAGAGACGCUACUGAGUUAACCCCGGAAGCAUAUCUGGGCUGGGUUUAAUGUUUCAGCACCACGGACAGAGACACAACUGCUUGACCCUGGAAACACAGCUGGACAGGUUUAUUGUUUCAGCACCAUGGACAGAGACACAACUGCUCAACCCUGGAAACACAGCUGUACUGGGUUUAAUGUUUCAGCACCAUAGACAGAGACACUACAGGGUUUACACUGGAAGCACAGCCGGGCUGGGUAUAAUGUUUCAGAGCAAUGGGCAGAGGCCUAAAAUUAGACUGUUGCAGGGUCUGAUACUAGAGUGCUACUGGAAUGUGUAAUAAAACCAGGAAUUGAGUUGUCAUUUUAGCAUUUCAAGUAAUCUCAUCUUGAAUCGAGUGGGUUUUCUGAAUGUCUUUUUUGGCAGGUGCCUGAAAUAAGCACUGUAGCUAACAUAAGCUUAAGAGAUCUUCAUGUUUCAUUGUAGGAGAUCAAAUGCAUCAGUAUAUACUCCAGUUGUGAGUUUUGAUGCCUUAAGUUUCUUCAAAGUCAGUAGCUAAAAAGUGGCUAGAUGAGACUACAGCAUGUCAACCAAGCUGUGCUGAACACAUUUUUACAGCCUUGUUGUGGUGGUGUAAUUCAGUGGUGCCCAACUGGUGACUUGUGAAUGUGUAAGGUUUGUUUAAAAAAAAAAAAAAAAAAAAAAAAAAAA